Molecule: unclassified non-coding RNA, 536 nt
Filed under: Lactobacillus delbrueckii
Lineage: Bacteria; Bacillati; Bacillota; Bacilli; Lactobacillales; Lactobacillaceae
Description: partial contains 16S ribosomal RNA, 16S-23S intergenic spacer, and 23S ribosomal RNA
Rfam family: Bacterial large subunit ribosomal RNA (bases 348-536)
Source: RNAcentral
AGAGUUUGCAAUGCCCAAAGUCGGUGGGAUAACCUUUAUAGGAGUCAGCCGCCUAAGGCAGGGCAGAUGACUGGGGUGAAGUCGUAACAAGGUAGCCGUAGGAGAACCUGCGGCUGGAUCACCUCCUUUCUAAGGAAAACAGAUGGAUGGAGAGCAAGAAUGCUAAGAGAAGUCCACCAGUUCACGGAAGCACACUGCAAAAGAAACUUUGUUCAGUUUUGAGAGUAUCAGCUCUCACUUGUACGUUGAAAACUGAAUAUCUUAAUUCCAAGAAAAAACCGAGAAUCAUUGAGAUCAAUGAAAACAUUGCAAAGCGACCGAGAGAGUUCGAAAGAACAAACUUGCAAGGUCAAGUGAAGAAGGGCGCACGGUGAAUGCCUUGGCACUGGAAGCCGAUGAAGGACGCGACUAACCGCGAAAGUCUUCGGGGAGCCGUAAGUAGGCUUUGAUCCGGAGGUCUCCGAAUGGGGGAACCCAGCAUGUGCAGACAUGCUAUCCUUAAGUGAAUACAAGCUUGUUGGCGGCAGACGCGGGGA